RNAcentral lists this ribosomal RNA (492 nucleotides) under uncultured bacterium. RNAcentral describes it as "partial 16S ribosomal RNA". It matches the Rfam family "Bacterial small subunit ribosomal RNA", at positions 29 to 507 of the family's 1533-position model. The record is from RNAcentral.
AGUGAACGCUGGCGGUAGGCCUAACACAUGCAAGUCGAACGGCCGCACAGUAAGAGUUUGCUCCUGCGGGUAGCGAGUGGCGGACGAGUGAGGAAUACAUCACAAUCCACUUUUUCGGGGGGGACAUCGUAGGGACACUUACGCUAACACAGCAUAUGACCUACGGGUGAAAGCAGUGGAUAAUCGGACCUUUGCUGACAGAAAGAGACGAAGUCGGAUUAGCUAGUUGGCGGGGUAAAGGCCCACCAAGGCAACGAUCCGUAGCUGGUCUGAGAGGGUGAUCAGCCACACUGGAACUGAGACACGGUCCAGACUCCUACGGGAGGCAGCAGUGGGGAAUAUUGGGCAAUGGGCGCAAGCCUGAUCCAGCCAUACCGCGUGGGUGAAGAAGGCCUUCGGGUUGUAAAGCCCUUUUGUUGGGAAAGAAAGGCAGCAGGUUAAUACCCCGCUGUUCUGACGGUACCCAAAGAAUAAGCACCGGCUAACUUCGUG